Oncorhynchus nerka (sockeye salmon) is the source of this 6515-nucleotide long non-coding RNA. RefSeq lists it as uncharacterized. The transcript is spliced from 2 exons. NCBI's taxonomy places the organism in Eukaryota, Metazoa, Chordata, Actinopteri, Salmoniformes, Salmonidae. The record is from RefSeq and is a predicted model, not a curated record.
GCCUGAGAGGGAUGACCUGGAACGCCUCGUUCUCAUUGGCCAGCCUAAUAAAGGGGAGGAGCACCACUGAAUAGACACACAGCACCAGGUAACGGUCUGCGGAUGUUAUGACGAUGAUGAGGAAGAAGAAAAGGCUGUUGCCAGCUGAUUGCACUAGAGAGGAGAUCCACCAAUAGGAUCGCAGUGUGGAUGCCCUGUAUGUAUGCGUUUGAGGUCCAUGAGGCAGGAAGUGCGUGUCAGAGUUACCCUCUACAGGUGAUACAGCACUGUUUCUGGAUGGACCUGAGGGAGCAUCGGCCCAGCAGCUUCAGCUUGUCACAGAACCGAGACGACAUGCUGUUCUUCCUACACAGCGGACCUACACGAUCACAACGCAGGAGAGGACAGGACAGACCACUGGCUUAGUUCAACUGCAAUAUACGGUACGUCGAUCAACAGCAUACAUCUCAAACAAAUAUAGCUUCAGUAGGAACUAUUUCUUUAUCUUAUGGUGAAAUGUCCUUGCUAAAUAGCCAACAGGGAGGGAUGGGUGUUUGUCUUACCGGUGUUAGUCUGACACUCCUGCAUGUGGCAUUUCCUGAGUGUGUCAGGCCUGCUGCUCGGCUCACACAGACUGUUCUCCACAGAGUCGAAGUCCUCAACAAUACACCGCACCACACGAUGCUGCAACCCCUCACCACAACUCACAGAGCACUGACACACACACACAGAGAAGACCACCGACAUUACUAACACACACAGACACACUAGUCCCCACUGACAAAUCGCACCAUGCAACGCACACUCUGAACAUGCAACAGUCACAGAGUCUGCACAUACUGUAGGGAAAUAAAUAUGCUGCAAGUCAUGAACUGUAAGUAAAUAUGUUCCCCGGGAACCUUUACCUCCUCCCAGUCCUGUGGGUCCCAGUAGCUGCAGGGCUGCAGGUUGCAGGUCUCUGUGUCGUUUGGCCUCUGGGUGGCGCUACAGCGCUGCGGCUCAGGGCAGUAUACCAGCCGCUCCCUCAAUCCACCACUACAGCUACGUGAGCACUGGCGAUGAAAGGAGUUCAUAUCUACAAUCAUAUUCAAACUCAUUUAUUCUUAUUAAUACUAGAAAAUAGCAUAUGGACCAAAGCCAGUCAGCAUGUGUCAAUAUAUGUGUGUCUGUGUCUGUGUGUGUGUAUAUGUACCUGUCCCCAGGGGGAGGUUCUCCAGGGCUGGCAGGGUUGGAGACGACAGGACAGGGUGCUGGGCGGCCUGGAGGACAGGACUUGGCAGUGGAACGGUCUCAGUGGACGCCCCUUCUGCUCGUCCACACACUGCACCUCACGCUGCCUCCUCCCCGCCACCUCACACCCCUUCGGACACUACAGAGAGAGGGAGAGAGAGGGAGGGAGAGAGAGAGGGAGAGAGAGAAAGAGAGAGAGAGAGAGAGAGAGAGAGAGAAAAGAGAGAGAGAGAGAGAGAGGGAGAGGGAGAGGGAGAGAGUUAGUAUAAUACCUUAUCUGUUCUUCUUAUUAUGUGAGUUGUAGGUUUUUAUUUUAGAGUGGUCGCAUUUCAUAUGGCUAUUCAAUAAUGUCACUAAUACACAUUUCAUAAGGCUAUUCAAUAAUGUCACUAAUACACAUUUCAUAUGGCUAUUCAAUAAUGUCACUAAUAGACAUUUCAUAUGGCUAUUCAAUAAUGUCAGUAAUACACAUUUCAUAGGGCUAUUCAAUAAUGUCACUAAUACACAUUUCAUAUGGCUAUUCAAUAAUGUCACUAAUACACAUUUCAUAGGGCUAUUCAAUAAUGUCACUAAUACACUUGCUUCUGCUGUAGCUGACGUGUUGCUGGCAAGUUGUAGAAACUUGUAGAAAAGUUACCCACAGGAUUGUGGGUAAAACUCCCCGGGACCAGCCAUAUGUAAAAUGUAUGCACACAUGACUAAGCCGCUUUGGAUAAAAGCGUCUGCUAAAUGUCAUAUUAUUAUUAGAUGAGCUAUAGAAAGCAGAGACAGCCAGGUACAGUGUAUCCAGGCUACUGACCUUGCUCCAGUCGCCACUCAGCCAGGUGGCACAGGGGCGCAGGUGGCAGGUGCGAGCUGGUUCUGGUCUCUUCAGGUUGGCACAGUCCGAUUCCUGCUGGGAGCUACACAGCACUGGCCUCCACACUGCCCCCAGGCCACACGACGUUGAGCACUGGCCCAGACAACAGGUGAGAGAGGAAGACAGAAAGUAUGUAGUACAGCAUAGAAACAUUUCUGCCUUGGGAUUGUUCACUACAAGGGUGUUGAUUGUUACAUUAGCGAUUUUAAUAACCAAAAUGCAUUGUAUGAUUAUAGCAGGGAUGGGCAACUGGCUGUCCACCCCACCUUUUGAAGGCCUUCGGGUCAAUUCCCACACCCCCAGAAAUAAAUCAAUUAUACAAAUAAAACAAAUGUAGCAACUCAGUCGGUGUCUCAACGUACUGUUGUGAGUUAGAAUAGUAGAAUACGUAAGGUCCCAUUUAGAAACGUGUCAGCAGUUUUUCAGUCACUGACAGUCAGUCAAUUAGCCCAUGUCAACUAAAUCUUUUUUAGAUUGCUAAGUUAGUUUAGUGGCCAGCUAUUUAAACUUGUUAUCAUGGUCGAAUUACUGGCCGGGGGGCCCCCGUUGAUUUUAUUAGCCAGUUUCACUCAGGUAUCAUAUUUAAAAUGGCAACCUAUAGCAAAAUGUUUAGAAUUGCAUGAAAUUUGUUAUACAAUUGCAAAAUCUUAUUUUCGCCUCAUGUAAAAAUGUGUAGAAUUGCAGCAAACUUGCUUUAAAACUGCAAACAUUUUCUCUACAGCCCAUGGCAAAAAUGUGUAGAUUUGCACGAAAUUAACUAUGGUAUGGGCGUGGGUAUGCAGAUCCACCAGCAACUGCGGCCCCUCAUGAUGAGUUCAGAUUUUUUUGUGACCCCCAUCCCCAUCAAAGUUGCCCAACCCUGGCCUAUAGGGUCAUCAACAAGCUCAUAAACACAGAGGGUUAUUUUUGUCUGUACUCACCUCGCUCCAAUUACCCACCAACCAGAACACCUCCAUGCUGAUUGGCUCUUGGGCAUUCAGGUAGCCAUAAUCACUGGCGAAGGUCACUACGGGACUUCCUGGUCUCUGCUCCUGACCUUUGCCCUUUGAACGUGGGCCUGGCUUUUUAGAACUGGGAGCAGGGCUGCCACUCUUGGGGGUCUCAAUGGGCUUCUUCCGUUUAAUGAUCCUCACAGUGGGACCGGGGGCAUCUGGGGUUGGGCUGCUGAAAUACGGGGCAUCGCUAGUGUGGAAAAUGCCUUCUGUAUUGGGAUACAGUCCUUGUGUAGUGUGGUAAGGUGCUAUAAGUGUACUCCUCAUCUCCGCUGUGUGUGCCCGGGGUAUAGGGGUGGUGUGGGGCACCCUAGUUGUCCGUUUGGUGAAAGGGUUGAUAGAAGGGGUGGUGUUGGGGGGAGUGAGGGUGUAGAGGCUGGUGUUCAUAGCCCAGUGCGCAGUGCUGGUUUGUGGGGUUGAGGGGGAGGUAGUGAGGGGUACUCUGGUUGUGUGUUGGGUUGUACGUGAUGUUGUUGGGACACUUGUGUGUGGUAUGUGUGGUGUGGAUGUAGGGUGUAACCUGGCGGUGGUCACGGUAGGCGGUGAUUGGAUGGGGGUCCUGAGAGAGGAUUCCGUGGUAAAAAUGUCCAGAUCUGUAAGCCCCUCCUCUUCUGCAGUCACAUCCUCCACUACAUAGUCAUACCCCGGGGUGUACGUAACCCCCACAUCUGGAAACACAAAAUCAGCUGCACUCCCCUCCUUUUUCUCAUCCUCCUCUUCUUUCUCUCUCAUGUCCCUCUCCCUGUUCUCCGUGUCAGUAGGACUGGUCGUAAUAAAUGCCCCGUCCUUGUCCUCCACACGCCCAUUCUUCACCACAUGAUCAUCGACGUCAAUGAUAUCAGUGGCUGUGGAGGACCGUGGGAGGGGCUUGGUGGUAGAGGUGGUGAUGGGGGUUGUAGUUCUCUCAGUCACUGUAACAGUGCUGGUCCCGGGUGUAGCGUUGCUGGUGCUUUUGGGGCCCCAGGUGUGUGUAACUGGCUGCCUGGUUGGGUGUCUCUUGGGCAGGUAGAAACGGCGGUAUUUAGGGGGUGGUCCCGGGCGCCGUCGGAGGCCUGCGCUUGGGCAGCUCUGCAGGGCACACAGCGACUUGGAGCGAGGCAUGGUUUUGAUGUCACACUUUUUUAGGGGUGCGGUCAGGCAGGUGACCGUCCGGGUGCGCACACUACCACCACAUGUCACUGGGCACUGAGAGAGAGAGAGAUUAAAUAGGUUAUUAACACAACAAGGAGAGAGAGAGAGGGAUUAAAUAGGUUAUUAACACAACAAGGAGAGAGAUUAAAUAGGUUAUUAACACAACAAGGAGAGAGAGAUUAAAUAGGUUAUUAACACAACAAGGAGAGAGAGAGAGAGAUUAAAUAGGUUAUUAACACAACAAUGAGAGAGAUAAAUUAAAUAGGUUAUUAACAGAACAAUGGGAGAGAGAGAGAUUAAAUAGGUUAUUAACAGAACAAGGAAAGAGAGAGAUUAAAUAGGUUAUUAACAGAACAAGGAGAGAAAGAUUAAAUAGGCUAUUAACAGAACGGGGAGAGAGAGAGAUUAAAUAGGUUAUUAACAGAACAAGGAGAGAGAGAUUAAAUAGGUUAUUAACAGAACAAGGAGAGAAAGAUUAAAUAUGUUAUUAACAGAACAAGGAGAGAGAGAGAGAUUAAAUAGGUUAUUAACAGAACAAGGAGAGAUUAAAUAGGUUAUUAACAGAACAAGGAGAACGAGAUUAAAUAGGUUAUUAACAGAACAAGGAGAGAGAGAGAGACUAAAUAGGUUAUUAACAGAACAAGGAGAGAGAGAGAGACUAAAUAGGUUAUUAACAGAACAAGGAGAGAGAGAUUAAAUAGGUUAUUAACAGAACAAGGAGAGAGAGAUUAAAUAGGUUAUUAACAGAACAAGGAGCGAGAUUAAAGAGGUUAUUAACUUGAACAAGGAGAGAUAGAGAGAGUGGCAGAGAAUGGUAGAGAAAGGAGAAGAGAAUAGUACCAUGCUCCAGUUGCCCGCGGCCCAGUCGGGUCCACAGAGCUGGUCUCUGUUGCAGGGAACUACAGGUUUGGGUUUGAGCAGCUGUUUACAGUCCCCAGGGUGGAGCACCCUCUCCUCCCCGGCCACCGUGCGCACACACAGCACUGUGCGAUUCCUCACCCCUCCCGAACCACAGGUGGCAGAGCACAGCUGCCAGCCCCCCACCCACCACCUACACAGGGGGAGAGGGGAGAGAGUGUGAGACAAGGGCCCUGAACAAAUUUGCGUUGGUCUGAUUUGCUUCGGAAAUGAAUAGCUGUCAAAAGACAACAGGGCCAACAGUCAUAACAGACACUAAUAACACCUGUUGAGUUACAGAGCUUUUUAACUGUAUUUAUUUGAGAUCAGCAUUAAUAUUGCAGAUAGAUUGUGGGUUCCAUCAGUUUAAUUGUUUGCGUAAUUUCUAAUCACAUUUAUUUACAUGUUUUAUUUAUACUCCCCUCCAACCCUACCAUCCCUACCCUGAUUGGAGUAAACUAACGGACAACAAUUACUGCUACUUACAGCUAUUUCCGCUCACAUCUAUGGUACCUGUAGUUAAAUAAUUAUACAUAUAUUCCUAAUUUCCUAUUUCUUCAAGUACUGGAUUUUCACCCACAGUGACCAAUCCACCAUUCAUUCUGAUUUUAACUCCAACCCUCCCGAUGUCCACAGACGAACCCAUCUUUCCCAGUAUUAUGUCAUUUUGUUAUUUCAUUUUUAAUACAUUCCUCCAUUUUACUAUGAUGUCUUAUUAGGGUAGUGAACCUCCUUAUUUGUAACAUUACCGAUAUUGCCCUAAAAAUAAAUACUUUACCCAAGAGUAUAAUGACAUUUCCCAUUGACGGAUCAUUGGUUUUUCGGAUCCCGUAACAAUACAGUCUGCAUGUUGAUCUGAACCCUGAUAUUAUGACAUAACAACCAUGUCUGGACCUGACUCUGCAGAGUCUGCACAAGGCUGACUGUUCAAUGCCCCAUAUAUUGAACAUUAUUUUUGUAGCAAGUAUUUUAUAUAAUAGCGUAAAUUAAAACAAAUGGAAUUGUGUCAAUUGUUGAUUUAUAUGUCAGUUCAUAGACGUGUUGCCAAGGUAUGAGAAUAUCAAAGACCUGUUCCCAACUGACUUGAAUGUUAUACAGCAUGCUAAUUAUGCUAAUCAUUUUUAGCCAUUUAUGAUUUUUAAUGGGUGUCAGAGAGACAAAUUAUUUAAUUCCUUCUUUAAGUAACGGUCUCUUCCAAUUUUGUGGCAGAGCAGCUACCAAUCAAUCAAAUGUAUUUAUAAAGCCCUUUUUACAUCAGCAGAUAUCACAGUGUUUAUACAGAAACUCAGCCUUAAACCCCAAAGAGCAAGCUAUGUAGAUGAGUUGAUUAUAAUGUAUUGAGCAUACACAUCUAUACACUGUUGUUAGUUGCUUGUAUGACAUCAUUUUACCGUCCUUGUUUAAUAAAAUGUUCUUCAUAAAUAUUA